GUACACUCCUGCGGGAGGCAGCAGUGGGGAAUAUUGCACAAUGGGCGCAAGCCUGAUGCAGCCAUGCCGCGUGUAUGAAGAAGGCCUUCGGGUUGUAAAGUACUUUCAGCGGGGAGGAAGGCAAUACGGUUAAUAACCGUGUUGAUUGACGUUACCCGCAGAAGAAGCACCGGCUAACUCCGUGCCAGCAGCCGCGGUAAUACGGAGGGUGCAAGCGUUAAUCGGAAUUACUGGGCGUAAAGCGCACGCAGGCGGUCUGUCAAGUCGGAUGUGAAAUCCCCGGGCUCAACCUGGGAACUGCAUUCGAAACUGGCAGGCUUGAGUCUUGUAGAGGGGGGUAGAAUUCCAGGUGUAGCGGUGAAAUGCGUAGAGAUCUGGAGGAAUACCGGUGGCGAAGGCGGCCCCCUGGACAAAGACUGACGCUCAGGUGCGAAAGCGUGGGGAGCAAACAGGAUUAGAUACCCCUGUAGUCCCA
This 475-nucleotide ribosomal RNA is filed under the name uncultured organism. RNAcentral describes it as "partial 16S ribosomal RNA". It matches the Rfam family "Bacterial small subunit ribosomal RNA", at positions 331 to 797 of the family's 1533-position model. The record is from RNAcentral.